This 271-nucleotide ribosomal RNA is filed under the name uncultured bacterium. RNAcentral describes it as "partial 16S ribosomal RNA". It matches the Rfam family "Bacterial small subunit ribosomal RNA", at positions 28 to 297 of the family's 1533-position model. The record is from RNAcentral.
GACGAACGCUGGCGGCGUGCUUAACACAUGCAAGUCGAGCGGUAAGGCCCUUUCGGGGUACGACGAGCGGCGAACGGGUGAGUAACACGUGGGUGACCUCGCCCUCCAGCUCUGGGAGUAAGCCUGGGAAACCGGGUCUAAUACUGGAUAUGACUCCAUGACGCAUGUUGUGGGGUGGAAAGCCUUGUGCGGCUGAGGAUGGGCCCGCGGCCUAUCAGCUUGUUGGUGGGGUGANGGCCUACCAAGGCGACGACGGGUAGCCGGCCUGAGA